UAUUCACGACCAGUGUCCCCAACCAACAGUUAAUUAUGACGGGAGCGUGCCUCGCCGAGCGAAACUUUCAAAUUGGAUUACCCGCACCGUCGGCAUCGCUCACGUAGGCUAGUUCACAUUGUGCAGCUUCCUAGGUCGUAAUGGAGUCAGACGUCAUUUUAUAAAGUUCACGAGAUGGAAAGGAUUUUUAAUACAAAAAUGUUCUGCUUCAAUUCUACAAUUGGCACAAACGAGGUUGGAAACCGAAGUUUGGCUCAAGUUCCUGCAGCGAAGACUAUGACGAUUCCGCGAACAAACUUACCUAAUUGCGGUUUUUGGGGUAUAUCCG
Leguminivora glycinivorella is the source of this 328-nucleotide long non-coding RNA. RefSeq lists it as uncharacterized. The record is from RefSeq and is a predicted model, not a curated record. The transcript is spliced from 3 exons. NCBI's taxonomy places the organism in Eukaryota, Metazoa, Arthropoda, Insecta, Lepidoptera, Tortricidae.